UAUUUUUAUUGAUGAGUACAAUAAAUUCUGAUUCUUAUUUCUCCACCUUUAUGAAUUCUUCAAUAUGCGCAUGUUCCUUUUUUUUUUCUUGGUAAUUAGUUGAUGUGCUCUCACUCCAAUGAAUUUGUUCUCACUUUCUUGCGAAUACUGAUGACUGAAUUUGGGAUCUCUUGACAACUGAAUCGGGGAAUGUUGCUUUCUAUUCCCUUUUUCUUGUUUCUUGUUAGUUGAUAAAUAGUUUAUGUGCUCUCUACAUAUCAUGAUUAUUAUAUUGGCAACACAAGUUUUAAUCUUUCCACUUCAUUGCAUUCUUGGAUCUUGAUAUCUGAAUUUGGGCAUGUUCUUUUUUCUUUUAUUCUGUUUAAUGCUUUUUUGGUGGGUUUGCAUGUUGGUUCUAAUUAGUUGAUAAAUUGUUCAUGUCCUUUCUUCGUAUCAUGAUUCUUGACAACGAUAUUGAUAUUUGGUACCAAUUUGUUGAGAACACUUUUUACUUUCAUGUUGGUCUAACUAUAUAUAUAUUGAGAUUACUUCUUACUUUCAACAAUUUCCAUGUUUAUUGUCUAGUUCUUGGAAGAAUUUUGAAUCUUGUGGUUUUGACUAGAAUGUAUCAAAAUGUCAAUCUUUGGUCUUAAUCAUGGCCAUGUGAGAGUUGCAAUUAUAGAAUUGCCAGCAUAGGAAAAAGACAUUCUUUUUUAAAUAGACUUAAAAGGAAAGUAAGACAAAUAUUCUGUGGACGUAUUAUUCUGCAAUGCUAAUAAUAUUCUUAUUAGACUGCUCUUGGAAAAGAAAAACUAUCCUUAGACUUCUAAUGAUAGAAGUUUUAUAGCUUUGGUGCCAUCUUUCGAAGUCCUAGCGACUUAAAUGUUAUUGCUACCUAGAUAUGUACAUAUCUUCCUCUAAUUAAUUUGAUUAAACAAAUUCUUUGGUUUAUGUCCAAAUACAUUCAGAAGAAAGACUAAGCUAUUGAACUGAAAUGAUCUACGAACACUCUCUGAAGAUGUUAUUUCCAUAAGUUCUCUGCCAAAUGGAUUAAGUACAACUUUCUUUCUCAUGUGUGGUCCAGGUGAGGAGUGGCAUAUAUGAAGUUACAUGAUGUUCCGGGAUGCCUCAUUACUAUUGCUAUAAAUGUUAUGCACCUUGAAAGACAAUUUUAUUUAUUACCUUUAUUAUGUUGUAAUUGUUGAUGCUUUCGUCAAGGUGAUAUAACUGCGUCUAGUUGCUGUCCUGUCUUUAUGUUUGUUUGGUGUUACUGCAUCAAGUUUCAGUAUUUCUUCAAUAAGAUAUAAACAUCAAUAUAGUUGUCCAAGUUCCAAACAAACAAAGUAUCAUAGCUUCUCUUUUAUUGUUAAACUCAUACUGUUUCUUUUUAACGUGAAAACAAAAGUUGUAGGCUAUUAUGAAAUUUUUUCUACUGCCGUUGGUUGCAGGUUCCUAACAACCCUGCUAUGGUCACACGAAACUCCUCGUUGAUAAUUCAACAUUCAUCACUAAGUCAAUAUAUGUUGCCACCGAAAUACGAACCUACAAGUGAUAUACCAAAGUUCCCCUUUUUCAUGGAUGAAGAAAACGCUUCUGGCGUACUAAGGACAGAAGUCAUCAUCAUUUCAAGGAAAAUACAAGGGACUGGGUUUGUUGUCCUACCGCUAAAGAAUUUCCACUGGGGGCUGAUUCAUCUAUGGAACAGACCGGAUGCCUUUAAUGCAGGAAUGUAUGCUAAUCUGGUCAAACAAACAUAUCUCUGGGCUCAUCCACUUAACAAACAUUAGAAAAGAAAUAUGAUGUUAAUACACGGCCAAUGAACCUUUGUUGUGGUCCAGGGAUGAUAAUGUCUCAGACUCCUCCGUAUUUGGAUCUCUAAAAGCUCCUUCAUUUGGUGUUUUAAGAAGCGCACACUUUGGCACCCAAAGAUUUGUAAUUCCUAUUCCUUUGGACAACCAGCAGUACCCAUGUCGUGGAGCAAAAGUUCACUUUUUUGUCCAUUUUCUCAUGUAUUGGAGCAGAUUAUUCAACAUUUUUGGGGAACAUUUUCUUCUGCAAUCUAGAUGAUCCUAUUGAUAUAAAAUUAUAUACCAUUCAGUGUGCAUUACUAUAUGCUCUAUAUUGAGCUGAAAUCCAUGUUGAGCUUUUGUUUUGUUAUUACUAAGUACUAUUUUGUUCCUACUUCAUAUUUCUGGAUAUCCUAAUGUACAAUCUUAGAUCAAAUUUGCAACUAGGUAAAGAAAGUACAACACCUUUACUCAAGAGCUUAGGUUUUGGAAAAUCUGCAUUCGGUAUCACUCGGAAAGGAAGUAGAACAGCAACUCCAAAGGAAGAUAACACACGACCCGGUGGUGAAAACUUUCAAUCCAUUUGCGGAUUGGAGACUUGUAAAGAUAAAAUCCAGGAGGAGUUUUGAGGUUUGAGGACAACCAGUUAGGCAAUAAAGGUCAGAAAUGUGGUUCUUCAGUUGGUGUUUCCGCCACAGGGAUCUGGUGUCAUCGACAACACGAGGCCUUUCAUAUCACCAUAUUUAACCAAUGGACUGUUGACCAACCUUCUUAUUCCCAUUUUUCAAGUACAUUUCCUGGGGAAAGAGCAGGGGUUGAUUAUUCAAACGAAAAUUUACAGAAACUGCAGUUACCCCAUUUCCGAAGUCACAACAGUUUCCCCCAACACAUCAUUGAUGAUUGGCACUGGAAGUAGAGUGGAAUAUACUGCCCCAGAUGUUUCUUUUUCUCUGUGGAACCACUCAAGGCUGUUUGCACCUUAAAAAACCAGCUUCCAAAUCUUCCACUACCUCCACCUUUUAUCAAUAUCUGCCACUCUAUCACUUGUCCAAUCUCCACUAUCUCACCUUCCACAUAUCCUUUGUUAGCAAAGCCAUCAGGCCAUGAUUUUGAUCAAAAGAACCCUUUUCUCCCACUCCUUUUUAAACUACAGGAGGCACUUCACAGUCCACAUUAUGCUUGAAUUUCCUAAAGCAGUCACAGCCUACAGCCUCCCCCCCCCCUCCCCCCCCCCCCAGGACUUCUUAAUAUUUCAAACACGCCACUUGCUGCGAGUAAAAUUCUGGAAGUGUUUCUGAAUAUAUAUGGAAUUAGAUCUCACUAAUAACUCUCUGGCAUUUGCUUUCUGUCAUAAAUAAUAUGAAAGGCACCUUGUGGUCUAUAAAAUCUGUGAAGCGCUUCUAUUGUGGUGUUGUACAUCUAAGUUGUUGCUACUCUUGCAGCCUCGGUUCUUUUGUCCUCUGCAGCCAGAAAUGACUCCUAAAGUUGGAGCAACACUUCUCACUCAUCAACAGGUACACAUGAACUUCUAUUUUUUUUGUUUUUAGUAUUCUCUCCAGUAUAACUUAAAAUUGCAAUCAAACAUGUUUUCUCUUGAGAUGAAAACUGGUUCUUGGCAUGGCACCUCAAGUGGGUAUAUGAGAUUUAGGAGAAACUUUCUCUGUCUUAUAAGACUAACUUAUGCUUGCAGCCAUGAAAUAUUUCAAUGGUUUUCAGUUGAUUUGUCUUUUGUCCUGGCAAAGUUCAAUUUCCUUCUCCGCCCCAAACCAACCUCUUGGCGGAAAUACUCAUGACCUUCCUCUUUUCUUAGUCUAUUACUAUUUCAUCUCCAUUUAUAAACCAUUAGGAUGUGGAGAUUUUGUCUUCCGUGGAAAUUCCAAACAGAACUUGUUUUUCUCUUGAGCCUGAUUAGACUAUUGCUUGCCCAGCACCUCAAGUAGGUCUACAAGAUUCUGGAAUUUAAUUUCAUUUCAUGGUGUUUCUUCUCCAUCUCAUACGGCUAACCGAUGCUUAUAGGCACGUUAGAUUUCAAUGCUUUUUAGCUAAUUGUGUUUUGGCUUCACGAAGUUCAAUUUUUUUCCUCACCAAACCAACCUUUUGGUGAAAUUCUACAUGACCUUCCAUUUUUCUUUUUUUAGUUCUCUCUCCGGUAUAACUCCAAAAUGACAAUCUAACAUGUUCUCUCUUGAUCUGGAAAACUGUUGCUUGACAUGACAUCUCAUGUUCGUCUGAGAAUUUGGAGAAAGUUCCAUUUGAUGGUGUUUUUCUCUAUCAGACAAGACUAACUAAUGCUUGCUGCCAUGACAGGUUUCUAAACUUUUGAGCUCUUUCGUGUUUAAUUUUGACUUUUUAAAGUUUAGUUUCUUUCCCAGCCCUCACCGAACCACCUUUUUCGUGAUAUUACACAUGCGCUCCCUCUUUUGUUAUUCUUAGUACUCGCUCUGCUCUAUUUCAUACACAAUGAAAAUUUGGAGCUUUUCGAUAUCAGUUGGCAUGAAAAUUUGGAGCUUUGCAAAGUGUAGUUUCCUUUACCCCCUCACUAAACCACCUUUUUCAUGAAAUUUCACAUGAACACACUCUUUUCUUAUUCUUAUUACUCUCUCUGCUCUAUUCUAUAAACCAUAAGAUGUUGAGGUUUUGUCUUCUGUUGAAAUUAAAUAAAACUCGUAUUUUCUCGAACUGAAAUUAUUGCUUGGCAUGGCACCUCAGGCGGGUCUGUGAGAUUUUGGAAUAAUUUUCCAUUUCAUGGUGUUUCUUUUAACUUUGCACUGUGUCCUUUUAUCUGCUAUUUUUUUUUUCGCGGUCUCCAUCUUUGUACCUUGAUCUGCUGAACUUGAGCAGAGAAUCUUUCGGAAACAACCUCUUUCCCCUCCUCAAACUCCACUUGUGGGAUUUCACUGGGUAUGUUGUUGUUCUUGUUAGUAUGAUGCUCCAUUAUAGUAUCAUAAUAUUUUUUUAAUGAAUAAUCUUACAUCACAGUUCUUAUUUUUUUCCAUGAGAUGUACUUCCUUAUAGAACUGUUCUUUUAUGUUUGUUAUUCUUCUAAGUUGUUGUGUCUUUCUAGUUUGAACUUUAGCCUAGUUUGCACCAGGUAUCUGAUGCUAUAGGCAUUAGGACCUGCUACGUUAAGAUGGAUGACCGAUGACAAUUGUAAGUAUAAUAGUUUCUUUUAUUUUCACUUUCAGUUACCUUUACUUAAAAAAAUGUAUUAGUUUCUUUGACAUUGAUCUAAUGCAUUUUGAUGUGCAGAAAGAUCUGCUCAAUUUAUUAUUUUACUUCAUCACCUAAAGUUGUACUUUCAAAGAAAGGAUCCAGUGUCUCACGAGAUGUACUGGUGCUGAUGGAGAAAGAUAUGUUCGUCUUUUUGCAAAAUGUUGGACUGAUAAGUUAAAUUUCUACACUUCGUUUCCCUAACAACCACUGCUUAACUUGCAGGUCCUUCAAUAUUUCUGCAUCCAUUUAUUUCAGUUUAUUUUCCUGACCAAAGAAAACGGAGAACUGGUCUUUGGUUAACAUUUACUAUAUCGGGUGUUUUUUUUAAUGAUGUUUUUGUUUCUUGACCUUUGUGGUGCAGAUCUCAAUGUAAGAUUUGUUUCCAGAGGACCUAUACAUGUAUUAGUACUUAAUAUCAUAAUAAUGAGUUUUGACAGUGCUUCUGACAUUGUGCAGCGAAGUAGAUCUCAGAUAUAUCCACUGUUAUUGUUAAACCUAAACCGUCAAAUAUCUUUAUAUGAUUUGACUUUUGGAGCCUUCAAUGACCUCCACUGUGGAAUUUAAGGUGAGAUUUUUUAUGGCAUUUAUUGUUUAGUUGUUUUGGGGUUGGGAACGAGUGAGUUAUUGAGAAUUGGUUUGGAUUGUUUUCUGUCAAUUUUUUUUUUAAAAACGCCUAUUCAUUUUUUAAACUUUAAUGUGAGUUAAAUAAAUAGGUGAAAACUGGCUAAACAUCAUUAAUUAUUACUAAUCGUAUAGAAUUUUAAAGUAUUAAAAAGGACCCCCUAACAAGCAAGGCCCUUGCAUCACAGCUGUUCCUGAAGAACAAAAUAAUCUCCCAUUUGUUAUGGGAGAACAUUGCCAAACCAUGUUUCUGGCUUCUUUUGGUUGCUGAAACAUACAGGCUAAUGUUAAAAGGGACAUGUCAUACAUAUUUGUUUCUCGAUUUGAGUGCUGUAUUUUUUAUUAUAAUGUUUUUGCGGUUUCUAAGACUGACGUUUUGUCCUGUUUGAACUUAGUCUCCUGGUUUUUGCUUACCCAAUCAUUUCUAUUUCCCUUUAAAUGGAUUUUGCAGUUCUCAAAAUUUUCGUCAAUUUUUCAUAUAUCUAGAUAUUCGUUACAUCAAACUUUUUGGAGCCUUGCUUAUCUUUAGGAGAUGGUGACAUCCAGCUUCAUAUUGAGUUUUUGAUUUUUUACCAAGUAGUAUUUUUAAAAAAUUAUAUGGUUGUUUGUUGCUUCUCUAUGAUUUCUUGAAACUCCAAAUAGAAAUUUAUUGCAUACAUCGGUAAUUCUUGUUAAUAAGUUUGUGUUGUUUUUGUCACUGCACCACUAGAAGAAUAUUUGUCGUGGGAUGUAUAUUUAUCCUAUAGGUAUCAAUUUUGGGUUGUACUAGCCCCAAGGCUUUGGUCAGUGAUGAGGACUCAAAAUGGGAUUGUACAGGGAACAUGUCCCAAGUUUGAACCCUAUCAUUGACAAUGAGCUUGAUAUUUAAGUGGGAUCAAGGCAGAGAGGUUGCUUAUAAUCUCAGCAGUCUCAAAUUUGUAGGUCAAUUUUUUUUUUUUGAGAAGGAUUUGUAGGUCAAUGUAAGCCAUCUAUUUAACGAGACAAUUAUGUUAUUCAGAAAAAAAGAAGAAGUUGAGCUUUAAUAUGACAGAGACAAGUAUUAGAUAAGUAAUAUGAAUGUUGAAGAGAAGCUUAUGGCAACUAGUUGAUUCUUAAUGUUACUUGUAGGACUGGGGCCAUCUUUCUCUUUAUUGAGGAUAUUGUUUCGAAUCUGUGGACUGGAAGUAAUUCCCGGUGAGAGAAAUUGUGCCCGACAUUCUUGUGCAUCAUCACUUAGGAUUCAUUGUUUGUUAUUUGUACUUGUGGCUUUGUUCACUCCACAUUCCCAUCCCUGUAUGCUGUAGCCCCCAAUCUGCCUCCCUAGGAGAGGGGGAGGAAACAAAUUGUGGAAGGUUGGUUAGUUAGUGAAAGAUAGAAUUACUUAUGCAUCAGAUGGUGCAAUGCAUUUCAAUGUUAUGCCAUCGUGUAGUUUUAUCACCUUCUUUUCUCGUUAGUUACUUCAGGAAAACCUAAAUAAGAAUUUACUUGUGAAGUAUCCUCUUCAUCUAUUGUUAUCGCAUUCCCUGACCCUCUUUUCAGAUUAUACCUGUGAAUUAUGAGAUCAGGUAAAAGAGGUGCAACCCCAGAGAUACAAAGCGACACUUGAACUUCCUUCCCGGCAGCCAAAGAAACUGACUGGAAAGUGCACUGUCUGAAGAGAGAUUCGAUCUUAACAGAAUAUUCUGUGGGAAGUGCUUCUGAUUACGCAAGCUCCUCCAGAUUCAUCCCAAGCUGCUAUAUGACAGCUCUAAAGGUGAGAAGUUUGCAGACCGUUGCUCCCUUGUCUACGCUGCCACCUGAUGGAUCACUAAUUGAAGUGACAAAGGGAGCUGAGGCCUCUCAUUAAUUGUCAACAUGGAACUUGAAUGUGGUCCUGGAACGAGAUAUUGGCGACAUGAAUGGCCUCCCUCUAUAGAAACAAGUGAUUCUAUGAAUUCCCCUCUUCCCAUGUUUUUUGCCAUUCCAUGGAAUGACACAUCGGGUAAAAUGGGCAGGUGUUUUGGGACUCAAAAGCCCCUUUUCUUAGUAUAUUAUAUAUAGUUGUCCUUAUUUUGUAAUUUUAUUAAUUUGCUUAGACAUAAUUUCUGUUAAGUCUAUUUGAUGAUCUAUAGCAGGUUUCUUCUGUAGUUGAUCAAGUUGAUACACUCUCCUUCUCAAGUAGCAUGGAGGGACCAUUUUCAUCAUUCAAGCCUGAGCUCUUGUCCAACAGUUUGUUCAAUUCAUAUAUUUAAAUGAUUUCUCUUGAGAUUUAUUUUAUGCAUGUUUGAGUUAUACCACCCCUGAGUUUCUAUUUUUUUAUUUUUUUUACUUUCUAAUGUUUGGUGUUAAUUUAAUUUUAUUGUGCAGGAUCUUAAAUGCAGAGAUAUUCUUGGGUGGUCAAAUAAUUAAGUUGAGCAGGGUGGUCAUCAUAUAAACUCUACUGUAUAUUAUGAAUAUUUUUUUUUUGGGUUAAUUUAAGAUUAGUAAUGGUAUGAAACAAUUAAAGUUAUGGAGAUUUUAGUCUCUCAUUUAUUUGAAGCCUUAACUUUCCAUUUGAUGCUUUUUCUCAUCCUCCUUCAAUGUGACUAUGCAAAUUUCUCAUGAUUUUUUUGAGCUUCAAACCUUUAAUGUGUAUUUCAUGUAUCAAGACAUCUUUUUGAGCAUUUUGUUAUAAUGUCUGUGAUAAUUUAUUUUACAAUUAUUUGAUUUGGUCUUAUGUAUCUAUUUUGUGGUGUAUUUGAGAUAAUUAAAAAAUAUAUAUAUUAACAUUUAAAUAUUGUAAUACUAAGGUACUAUGCUCCGGCAAGUAGGAGUUAUUUUUUUGUUGUUAAAUAUGAUAACAAACUGUUUAUUAUGAAUUUUUUUUUUUUGGGUUAUUUUUAUACUCAAUGGAAUAGACUUUUUAGUAAAAUAAGUAAGUACUAAUAUAGAAAUUAUGUAAAAUAAUAUAGUUUGCAUGAACGCGUUUUGUUUUGUGCCUAUGCUAUAAAAUAGAUCCCACUGUACGAACAACUCACCACCAUCACCGCUACCGGAACUUCAUACGCCGGUAGCGGAGUACGCAACCGAAUGGGAACCCCAAAACCCGAAUCAAUUUCCCGCCUUCGAGUAAUAUUACUGCUUUGCCGAAAUCGAUGGUAUUGUAAGAUUUUCUCGGAGUUCUUGGAAAAUCAACUCGAUGGCAUUGUAAGAUUUUCUUGGAGUUCUUGGAAAAUCAACUCGAUGGCAUUGUAAGAUUUUCUUGGAAUUUUUGAAGUUACUUUGGUAUUAUUAGAUGCAUAUGUAAGGAAAUCAAAGAUGGUAGUUUUCAAGAAUAUGAAAAGGAACUUCAAGAAAUCUUUAUUAUUUUAAAAAAAAAAUUCAAGAAUUUGCUUUAUUUCUGUUGGGGGUUUUCUUGAAUGAUUUCACAAGGAUUUUUUUAAAACAAGGUGUACUAUUUUACCCUUUCAACUUUCAAAGGUAUUGAAAGUGAAGUUGUGGAAUUGUUCUUGAAGGCCCACUGUACAAGAUUUUAGAAGUUUUGAUUCGAAGUAUUUGAAUAAAGGUAGCCAUUUUCCUCUACUUCGGUCUACAGAAUUGGAAAAUCAUGCCAGGUAAGAGAAUGGAAAUUUUACGAUUUUGUUAAUGUUUUGAGGAUUAGCAGAGGUGGGCUGUUGGGAAAAUCAUAGUUAAGUGAGUAACGAUGGGAGGUGGGACUUCCGUGCAGUUAUAAUCUUUUACGCUAGUUGCACCUGCAAAUUUGUGUGUUGCUUGCAAAAUAGGCAGUGAUCAGUUAGACUUAUCAUUUAACUUUUAUGUUACAUUCUUGCUGCUUCUGAUGGUGGCAGCCUAUGCUUUAUAUGAAAAUUGAUAUGAUUUUUUCUCCUUUUUAGUAUGAUGACCAUUCUAGUAUUAUAAUUUUCUUUCCAAAUAAAUACUCUUACACACAACUCUGAUUUCUUUUUUCCAUGAGAUUUACUUCCUAAUAGGAUUGCUUUUAAUGUUUGUUAUUGAUUUGUAGUAAUUUGAAUGAAGGCACUUGAUUGGACAGACUUCCAUAAAGGUCCAUACUGGCCACUUCCAUUUGCAUGAUCUAGACUUUCUGACUUCGAUUGUUUCUUAAAAAUGCAAAAAUGUGUCAUUUAAGAGAAGAGGGAAUUACAUGGUUCAUAUUUUCUGAUUUUGUUAAUGUUUUGUGGGCUGCUGAGAACAUCAUAGUUAAGUGACUUAGGAUUGCUUGCAUAAAAGGCAGUGACCGAUGAGCACUUCGAUGAAUUCUUUAUGUUCCUUUGUUAACUUCUUUUGGUGACGAGGGCAUAUGCUUUAUAUGAAAAUUGAUACUAUUGUUUAUCUUCUUUAGGAUGAUGCUCCAUUCUAGUAACAUAAUUUUUCCCCAAAGAAUAUCCAAAUAUCACAACUCUUAUUCCCUUUUUCCAUGAGAUUUACUCGACUGUUCUUCUUAUGUUUGUUUUUCUAAAAGCUCUGUACUCGUACUUUGAACUUGGAACCACUGUCACCAGAUGUCUGUUGCUAUUGGCAUUGGGACCUGCUAUGUGCCUGGUUCUUUCAUCUUCUGUUUAUGCUUCCUUUUUGUCUGGCUAUUUUAACUAUGGUUUCGUAUGCUUGCUUUACACCAGCUACAUCAAAAUACAGCCAUUAAGAUGAAUUGCAUACUUUCCAAGCAAGUUUUGGCUUUGAAGGAGAGGCUCUUGGAUCUAUUUCCGACGUUUCUUUAAUGGAAAUAGUUACUAUACUUGCGGGAAGCCAAAUGGAUAUCGUAAGUUUUUUCAGGAUGGCAAGUGUUUGUACUUUGUACCUUGAAAUUGAUGAUUGUAGACAAAAUGUUGGUACAACAGGUAUUCUGUAUAAGCAGCCUACUUGAUACAAGAGUCUACAAUUGUUUGCUAAUAAGGUAAUUUUCUUUGGGAUUUUUCUCUUUGGAGUCAUUGUUCGUCAUGUAUUUUACAACCAACCGGUUCGAAGGAAGCAAAUGCACUCCAAGUACUUCUAGUUUUCUCACAAUUGAAACAAAUAAAAUAUAUUGAUUUGUAUACUUUAUACUUUUAAAGUUGUACUCUGGCCUAACUGAUCUUUUGGUUUGCAUAUAUAGUCUUGGAAGUCUAAAUAGGGUCUUGCAUUCUCUGCAAGAGUCUUUCCUAAGAACUGCCCUCGUGCAUCCCAGUGUCUCCUUCAAAAUUGUUGAUAUUGAAGUGAGGAUGACCUACUUUGCACACGUGCUUCUCCUUCUCUGUUGCUGCUAUUGUUCAGUGGGUUCAAAUUGUGAAUGCAAGCGAUGGUUCAUUUAAGCUCUAAGGAUACAUCUCAGGUCCUGAUGUUACAGUGAAGGGGUGGAGACUGUAUUAGUUCGUGGAGGAUUUGGUGAUAGAGGUGUGGAGGAUAAAAUUCUUGCAGCCAAAAUAUGCCUGUGGAAACAGGAUUCCUUACCUGGGCACACAUCGAGGCAGGCAAAUCGCUGUUAUCGAGUAUGCUAGAUCCAUUCUUGGGUUGCAAGAUGCAAACAGUACAGAGUUUGAUCCCAACACUCACAAUCUUUGGGUAAUUUUUCUGUCGGGAGUUAAGUUCUGAUACUCCCCCUUCAUCAUGAAUUUCCCUCAUGAUCUUCAUGUGUUUGAGGUCUCAUUUUUGUAGCAGCUAUAUUAAUCUAUUGACCAAGUUCACAGGGUUCAAAAGCGCAUACAGGUGUACCAUGCGUCUUGGAUCAAGAAGAACGCAUUUCCAAGUCAAAGAUUCUAAAUCUGCAAAACUAUAAAUUUGGCGAUCGGAGCUUUAUAGAUGAGAGGCACCGUCAUAGAUAUGAGGUGAAUCUUGAUAUGGUGCAGCAAUUUGUAGAUGCUUGUCUUUCUUUCACUGGCAAAGAUGAAAGUGGUCGCUGCAUGGAGGCAGUGAUCAGGGAGGCUUUUCAUUGAAUUCUUAUGUUACUUGCUUUGCUGCUUCUGAUGCUACAUCAAAAUUCAAGAUACAGCCAUUAAGAUGAAUUGCAUACUUACCGAGCAAGUUUUGUCUUAAAAGGAGAGGCUCUGUUACUGACGUUUCUUUGUUGGAAAUUGUUUCUAAAACUCAUGCGGAACCAAAUGGAUAUUGGGUGGAUGUUGAUUUGAAGCCAUUCUAGAGGGCUUCUCCUAUUGAUAUUACCGAGUGGAUAAACUAUAUCUUUUUUCAGAUUUGGCAACAAGAGCUUUGUAGAUGAAAGGCACCGUUGUAGGGAUGCAUGCUAAAAACUUUUCCUGUGCUAUGUUGGUGAAUCUUGAAAUGGCGCAACUAUUUGAAGAUGCUGGCCUUUCUUUCACUGGCAAAGAUGAAAGUGGUCGCCGCAUACAGGUGAACCUUCUAUUUUUAUGUUUAUUUUUUGAUAAUUACAGGUGAACCUUUUAUAGAAUUGAAUUAUGAAGUCAUGAUAGAUAGUCUAGUGUUAUUGGUUUUAUUAUAAUUGAAUUAUGAAUCCAUUGAAUGGAAAGAUGUGGAGUUUUUCUUGUUGAAGGCAUUUGCAUAACCCCUAAAAAAUAAGUAGUUUAAUUAUAGUUGUGAUUUGUAUUAUUUUGAAUGAAGACACUCAAUUGGACAGUCUUCCGUAUACACCCUCAGUGGUCAUUUUCUUUUACAUGGUCUUAACUUUUUAUCUUCUUUGAAAUGAACAUGGUCUGGACUUUUUUAUUUAGAUUGUUUCCUAAAAGUUGAAAUUGUCAAGUAAGAGAAUGGGGAAUUAUAUGUUUUCUGAUCUUGUUGAUGUAGUUUGAGGAUAAAUAGAGAUGGGCUGCUGAGGAUAUGGCAAGUUGUGCUUUAAUGCAAUUUUAAUCGCCUAAACUAGUUGCACAAAAGGCAGUGCUCGGUGAAUCUCUUCAAUGAAUUCGUAUGUUCCUUUGUUCGCGAGGGCAUAUGCUUUAUAUGAAAAUUGAUAUACCUUUCUCCUCUUAGUAUGACACUACAUUCUAGUAUCCAGUUCUGUUAAAAGUGUUGAAGCGCUCGCUUUAAGCGAGAAACAAAGCGUCGCGACAUGAUUGUGUUUUAAUGCCUUGAAGCUAGGUAAUAAUGGAGAAGUGUGCGCUUCUGUCUCAAAAGCGAGAAAUGCGCUUUUUAUAAAAGCAAAAAAAGGCUCGCUUAUUAAAUGAGUUAAGCGCUAAUUAGUUUUUUUAAAAAUUUUUUUUAAAAAAAAUUCUGUAAAUAUACUUAUGCAUAUCUUUCCAAUUAUUUUCCCUCCUUGGUCGACUGUUGCGACUGUUGCUACAGCUUAAUUCUCUUCUCUUCUUCUCUUUUUGUUUCUCUGUAGUGCUGCAUAUGUAAACGUUGAUGUUGACGUUGACCUUUACGUAAACGUUGAUUUUGACGUUGACCUUUACGUAGACGUUGAUGUUCAUGUUCACAUUCACGUUCACAUUCAUGUAGACGUUGUUCACAUUGAUGUUGAUGUUCACGUUCACGUUAACGUUCACAGUCACGUUGACGUUGAUGUUCACGUUCACGUUUACAUUUAUGUGUACGUUGACGUUUACAUUGACGUUGAUGUUGACUUACAUUGACGUUUACGUUGACAUUUAUGUUGAUGUUGAUAUUUAUGUUUAUGUUUACGUUGACAUUCAGAUUGACGUUGAUGUUCACAUUUAUGUUAACAAUGACGUUUACGUUGACAUUGACGCUAACAUUGACAUUUACGAUUACCUUGACGUUUACGUUGACAUUCACGUUCAUGUUCACCUUAACGUUAACGUUCACAUUGAUGUUGACGUUGACGUUCACAUUGACAUUUACGUUCACGUUCAUGUUCACGUUUAUGUUGACGUUCACAUUAACGUUGACGUUGAUGUUGAUGUUGAUGUCAACGUUAACGUUGACGUUGAUGUUCAUAUUCACGUUCACGCUGACGUUUACAUUUUACGUUGACGUUCACCUUCACGUUGACGCUGACGUUGAUGUUCAAGUUGAUGUUCACGGUGAUGUUGAUUAGACGUUCACGUUGAUGUUGACUUUCGUGUUGAGCCCCGUAAAUGAACAAAUAGGUGGACUUUUUGGAAAUGUUAAAACAAAAGGUUUCCGCUCGCAUCUCGGAACAUGUCUCAAGUUGGAACCCUAUCAUCGACAAUGAGACUAACACACGAUGAGGAGUCAAAAGAAGGUAACCAAUUCCUGUCAUUUGUUUGAUUGUCUAAGAACUCAUUGAAGGGUCAUUUCAACUUGGAGUUUGGAACUUAUUGAAUUAUCGCUCAGCUAAAAAAAUGGAACUAUGUACGCAUCCCAAAAACUUAUUGGUAUGCCGAGAAACAUCCUAUGGAGAGAGAGAAAGAGGUGAAAUAUAUUAUGUUGCUCACUACUGUAAGCAGAGAUAUUUUGAUUAUUUCUUCUAGCUAAAGCUGAGUUGAUUACGUAUUGUUACUUAAGUACUUUAGCGCCAAUUUAUGGAGACAAAUAGACAAUAUAUGUGUCUGUUUCUUGCAUCUUCUGUUGUGUUUCCUUUUUGUCUAGGCAUUUUAUCUAUGGCUCUGAAUGCUUACUUUACACCAUCGACAUCAAAAUACAGCCAUUCAGGUGAUAUACAUGCUUUCCCAGCAAACUUCUGCUUAAAAGGAGGGCUCUGAGCUCUAUUUCAGACGUUUCUUUGUUAGAAAUUGUUACUAAACUCACAGGAGGCCAAAUGAAUAUCGUAAGGUUUUAAAGAUCCCAUUCUUUUGAGUUUUAUAUGGUAGUAUCCAUAAGGAUGAGUAUAAAACUACUAACCUGGUUUUUGUUCUUGCCAUUGUUUAUAGGACGGCAAGAGUUUGUACCUUGGAAUUGAUGAUUGUUGACAAAAUGUCUGUACAACAAGUAAUCUGUAUAAGACUACCUGCUAGUGAUAAGACUACCUGAUAGUGAUAGAUGAGUUGACUGUUGUUUGCUAAUAAGGAACUCCCUAGGAAUUUUUCUUUUUGCAGUCAUUGUUCCUGAUGCUUUACAAACAACUAGUUCGAAGGAAGAAAAUGCAUUCCAAGUACUUGUAAUUUUCCUCAAAUUCAAACAAGUAAAAAAUAUUAUUUACAUACUUAGUUUCUUAAGUUCUCUGUCCUGAUUGAUCUUUUGGUUUACAUGUAUAAUCUGAAAGCCCAAAGAGGGUCUUGCAUUCUCUGAAAGAGUCUCUGCUGGAAAUCGCCCUUGUGCAUCCCAAUGUCUCCUUAAAAAUUGUUGUUAUUGAAAGGUCCAUUUUUUAAACACCAAUUAAUUUAAGGAUAUUUCCAGGCUGGUUUCUUAGAUUUUUUAAAUUUGUAUGCACUGGAUGACCUGCUUUGCACAUGUGCUUCUACUUCUUUGUUGCCGCUAUUGGUCAGUGGGUUAGGGAUUCAUCUGAGUUCCCUUAACAAAUUGAAUGCAAGUGAUGGUUCAUUCAAGCUCUCUGGAUACAUCUAAGGUCCUAUGUUUACACUGUGAAGGUAUACAGGCCCAAAUUGAUGGAGAAGAGAUUUGAAAAGAAUCUUAAGAAUUAUUUUGUAUCAUGAGCUAUGCUCUCCUCUAGGGUUGAUGGGGACUCGCAAGAAUAAGUUCUAUGCUGGAAAUAGAGGUAAAACGGUUGAUCUUAUUAGGAAGACAAAGAGUAGAAGAAAUCAUUCAGCUUCCCAUUUUAACAAGGCAAGAAUAAGUUCUUUGCCAUGAGUGAGUCUUCAAGAAAGGCAGCAGUAAAUAACAGUAUUAAGAUUGUUCAUGUUGUGCCACUCAUGGCAGAGCAAUAAGGAGACUGCAUCAUUCUGCAGAAGCUAUCUGCUGGGAGCUUCCACAGCAGUAUGAUCAAUCUUCCGCCCCAAGUUGUGAUAACGGUGUAUUCUCUGAUGAAAGAUAAUGUUAUUAAAUUUCUUGGGAGGGUUAGGUACUAACUUGAUGUUUAUCUCUUUAGGCUAAGUAUGAAAAGGGAACUUAUUAACAUCUGGAAUAGCAAAUUACAAGCUCAAGGGGAGAGCACAGGUACACGCGAUGGGGUGUCGAAAGAAGGUUAACUAUUCCUGUCAUUUGUUCCUGACCUGAAUAAACCUGAAUUUUCCUGGUGCAUAAUUCGGUCAAUUUGCUUCAUUUCUUUCACUCUGCACCGUUUGUAAACCAUGAGGAUGUGGAGGUUUGUCUUUUAUGGAAGUUCAAAAAACCUUGUUUUGUUUCGAGCUGAUUAAACUGUUAUUGGGACGGCACCUCAGGUGGAUCCAUGAAAUCUUGGAAUUAAAUUUCCAUUUCAUGGUGUUUCUUCUCCAUCUCAUACGACUAACUGAUGCUUUAGCCACAAAGGUUUCAAUGCUGUUGAGCUAAUCACGUUUUGGCUUCACAAAGUUCAGUUCAUUUCCUGGUGUUUUUUCAGUCUCACAAGACUAUCUGAAUGCUCGCAGCCAUGACAGGUUUGUAAGCUAUUGAGUUGAUUCGUGUUUUGACUUGACAAAGUUCAGUUUCUUUCCCACCCUCACUGAACUACCCUUUUCGUGAUGAUACACAUAUACUCCGUCUUUUGAUAUUUUUACUACUCACUUUGCUCCGUUUUAAACACAAUGAAGAUUUGGAGGUUUUCAUAGCUGAAGACUGUUGCUUGGCACGAAAUUUCAGGUGGGUCUAUGAGAUUUUUGGAGAAGUUCCAUUUUUUGGUCUUUCUUCUCUGUCUCAUAGGCAAACUGAUGUUUGUAGCCAUGCUGGGUUUCAAAGCUUUUGAGCUAAUCGUGUUUGGGUGUCGCGAAGUUCAAAUUUUUUUGUUGUAAUUCUUUCCUUUGGUGAAACUACACAACCAUUUACUUUGCUUGUUCUUAUUACUAUCUCUUGUACGACUCAAAAAAACCAAUUUAGCAUGUUCUCUCUUGAGCAGAAAAACUGUUGCUCGGUAUGACACUUCAGGUGGGUAUAUGAGAUUUAGGAGAAAGUUCCAUUUCGUGGUGCAUCUUCUCUGUCUCGUUAGGCAGGCUAACUGAUGCUUGCAGCCAUAAAAGAUUUCAAAGCUUUUGAGUUGAUUCAUGUUCUGGCUUGGCAAAGUUCAGUUUCCUUUCACCCCUCCCCAAACCACCCUAUUCGUGAAAUUAUACAUGAUCUUCCUCUUUUCUUACUCUUAUUUUUCUCUCUGCUUUGUUUUAUUAACCAUGAGGAUGUUGAGGUUGUCUUCUAUGGAAGUUCAAUAAAACUCGUUUUCUCUCGAGCUGAAAAACUGUUGGUUGGCAUGGCACCUCAGGUGGGUCUAUGAGAUUUUGGAAUUAAAAUUCCAAUUCAUGGUGUUUCUUCUGACUUUGCACUGUGUCCUUGUUAUACUAGUCUGUGGAACUUGAUAAAAUUGCCAUUUACCAGAAGUUUCAUUGCAUAAACUUUGCAACAUUCACUAAAGUUAACCCUAACACUGUACAUGGAGUUGUAUGUUUUUGGUUAAAGCAGGAACUUAAAUCUGAUCCACAAGCAGCCAAGAUCUGUCACACUUGUUGCGCUUGUCAAAGGUCUCCUAGAGGCAUGGAAAUCUAAACCUCUCCAGGUAGAACCAAGGUAUAGCAGAAGUCAAAAAAUUUCAGAAAAAUCUUCAUUUACUUGAGGACAUUCUAGAGGAAGAUGAUCAUCUUAUGGAUUCCGAUAAACAGACGGAAAAUUAUGGUUCUGGCCUGCUAUCUUUUUGUCCAGUCUCCUCUGCUACCAGAUGCUUUGCUCGGGACCAGGUUUGAAGAUGGGAUUGAAUUUUCUACUAAACAGGAAACAUGGAACAUUAUCUUAAGAGGAUUGCUUGUUCCCAAAUCCUGCAAAGUUUGAUCUAAAUUGUUAUCUUCUUUUCAGAGAGGAGCCAGUAUAUCCAUGGAAUGUUUACAGUUGAGCUACUUCUGAAUUUCUAAUAAUAAGACUUCUUUUUUUGUUUCUUUUCUUUUUAAAAAAA
This is a non-coding RNA of Solanum lycopersicum (tomato), 17388 nucleotides long. NCBI's taxonomy places the organism in Eukaryota, Viridiplantae, Streptophyta, Magnoliopsida, Solanales, Solanaceae. The record is from RefSeq and is a predicted model, not a curated record.